AUGUCGGCAGGGGCGACGGGAGGCGAUAUGGUGGCGGAGCAGGAGGUGGUGGAGCAGGAACGGGCGGUGGACAGCGCCGAAGCUCAGAUCUUGGCGGCCAGGGUAGCGGCGGCCGCGGACAGGAGAGAGAGCUCACCCUCGACGUUGAAGUUGUCAACUGGGAAGAUGAAUCCCCGGGCGCCUGAAUGGAAUAAGAGGCUGAAGAUAGUGCUGCUGCACCGAGCAGAACACCGUGCCCAAACCAUGGGCAAAGCCGCGUGCUGCAAAACAUGUGCAAAUGCAGUUACAGGCCUCAAAUAUCUUGUCAGCAAACUAAAACAUCUCAAGCUGGAUGUGCUCGCGUGCAGUUGCAAGGUUCGAGAGGCAACGAGCAUUUAUUUCCUUCAGUAG
This 390-nucleotide ribosomal RNA is filed under the name Triticum aestivum (bread wheat). RNAcentral's name for it is "partial small subunit ribosomal RNA". Lineage: Eukaryota; Viridiplantae; Streptophyta; Magnoliopsida; Poales; Poaceae. The record is from RNAcentral.